This 235-nucleotide ribosomal RNA is filed under the name Lactiplantibacillus plantarum. RNAcentral describes it as "partial 16S ribosomal RNA". It matches the Rfam family "Bacterial small subunit ribosomal RNA", at positions 144 to 372 of the family's 1533-position model. The record is from RNAcentral. Lineage: Bacteria; Bacillati; Bacillota; Bacilli; Lactobacillales; Lactobacillaceae. RNAcentral also lists the same sequence under 1 other name.
UAACACCUGGAAACAGAUGCUAAUACCGCAUAACAACUUGGACCGCAUGGUCCGAGUUUGAAAGAUGGCUUCGGCUAUCACUUUUGGAUGGUCCCGCGGCGUAUUAGCUAGAUGGUGGGGUAACGGCUCACCAUGGCAAUGAUACGUAGCCGACCUGAGAGGGUAAUCGGCCACAUUGGGACUGAGACACGGCCCAAACUCCUACGGGAGGCAGCAGUAGGGAAUCUUCCACAAU